GGGUAAUAGAGAGAUAUAAAGUUAUUCUUGAAGCCUUCAUCUACAAGCUUAAACUUUUAGAUUAAGUGGUUUUUUUGACAUGGUAUCAAAGCAGCAUAGCUUUUAAAUUGAGUGGUUCUUUGACAAUUGAUAGUUGAGUGGUAGUGAUAGCUAAGUGGUGAUUGUAGUGGUGACAAGAUGAGGUAGUGGUUAUGGUAGUGGCCAAGUAGUGGUAGAGCUAACAAUAACUA
RNAcentral lists this unclassified non-coding RNA (230 nucleotides) under Hevea brasiliensis (rubber tree). The record is from RNAcentral. Lineage: Eukaryota; Viridiplantae; Streptophyta; Magnoliopsida; Malpighiales; Euphorbiaceae.